Suricata suricatta (meerkat) is the source of this 342-nucleotide long non-coding RNA. RefSeq lists it as uncharacterized. Lineage: Eukaryota; Metazoa; Chordata; Mammalia; Carnivora; Herpestidae. The transcript is spliced from 2 exons. The record is from RefSeq and is a predicted model, not a curated record.
GCCUGUGAGCCAGACCCAGGCAACUGGAGUCCCCUUACCCCUGCCCCUGUCUUUGGAAUGUACAUUCUGGCUUGGCUUCCUGUGCUAAAAGCUGCCCAAGACACAGCCUUGAGAUAGUAAUGUGGUAUUGAGACCAUCACAGUGCUAUACAUGCCUAAGCUCAGUUAAGGCCUCCAUAUAACCUUUUAGGAUUUAGUGGGCAGGUGCCGACAUCUACUCUUGAGGACCCCCAAGACAAGCCUGGUACAGAGAACCAAAUGGAAUCUUACAGAUCCUAACAUCAGCAGACCCACUGAGCUGUCUCCUGUAUUCCCUGCAUUAAAGCUCUUUUCUUAAAACCCA